RNAcentral lists this ribosomal RNA (253 nucleotides) under uncultured bacterium. RNAcentral's name for it is "partial 16S ribosomal RNA". It matches the Rfam family "Bacterial small subunit ribosomal RNA", at positions 524 to 776 of the family's 1533-position model. The record is from RNAcentral.
UACAGAGGGUGCAAGCGUUGUUCGGAAUUAUUGGGCGUAAAGGGCGCGUAGGCGGUGCCACAAGUCACCUGUGAAAUCUCCGGGCUUAACUCGGAGCCUGCAGGCGAAACUGUGGUGCUGGAGUGUGGGAGAGGUGCGUGGAAUUCCCGGUGUAGCGGUGAAAUGCGCAGAUAUCAGGAAGAACACCCGUGGCUAAGGCGGCUCUCUAGUACGGUACUGACGCUGAGACGCGAAAGCGUGGGGAGCGAACAGG